GGAUUUGUAUCUCAGUUGGAAGAGUGCCACUGUACUAUGCUGGAGGCCACAGAUUCAAUCCCUGUCUACUCCA
Paxillus rubicundulus Ve08.2h10 is the source of this 73-nucleotide non-coding RNA. The record is from Rfam. NCBI's taxonomy places the organism in Eukaryota, Fungi, Basidiomycota, Agaricomycetes, Boletales, Paxillaceae.